CUGCAGUCGAGCGAGAACCAGGGCUUCGGCUCUGGGGACAGCGGCGAACGGGUGAGUAUCACGUGAGUAAUCUGCCCUCGGCACCGGGAUAGCCCGGGGAAACCCGGAUUAAUACCGGAUGGCCUCCCGAGCCUUUGGGCUCGUGAGAAAAGGUAGCUUCGGCCUCCGGCCGAGGAGGAGCUCGCGGCGGAUUAGCUUGUUGGUGGGGUAAUGGCUCACCAAGGCGACGAUCCGUAGCUGGUCUGAGAGGACGAUCAGCCACACUGGGACUGAGACACGGCCCAGACUCCUACGGGAGGCAGCAGUAGGGAAUCUUGCGCAAUGGGCGAAAGCCUGACGCAGCGACGCCGCGUGCGGGAAGAAGGCCUUCGGGUUGUAAACCGCUUUCAGGGGGGACGAAGCCACUCGGGUUAAUAGCCCAGAGGGUGACGGUACCUCCAGAAGAAGCCCCGGCUAACUACGUGCCAGCAGCCGCGGUAAUACGUAGGGGGCAAGCGUUGUCCGGAUUCAUUGGGCGUAAAGAGCGUGUAGGCGGCCAGGUAGGUCCGUUGUGAAAACUCGAGGCUCAACCUCGAGACGUCGAUGGAAACCAUCUGGCUAGAGUC
RNAcentral lists this ribosomal RNA (605 nucleotides) under uncultured bacterium. Its description in RNAcentral is "bacterial SSU rRNA". It matches the Rfam family "Bacterial small subunit ribosomal RNA", at positions 55 to 648 of the family's 1533-position model. The record is from RNAcentral.